This is a non-coding RNA of Vicia faba (fava bean), 574 nucleotides long. The record is from the annotation of a GenBank genome assembly. Lineage: Eukaryota; Viridiplantae; Streptophyta; Magnoliopsida; Fabales; Fabaceae.
AUGGCCUCUCAAAAAAAAAAGAGAGACUCAUUCUUGCUCUCAAAAUAAAGAAAGACUUGUCUCCAAUUUCCGGUUGGUCCAACCAAUAAAGACAUGGGAGUCUUUGGGCAUUGCUUGGGCCGACUUAAGUAAAGACUGGUUACCUAGUGAUUUACAACCACCCUCACUGCACACUGUCUAUAUCUGUCUACUAUUGAUUCAGGAAAAUAAAAUAGGAUACCAGAUAUUCCGACUACAUGAAAUAGAGCACCGGAUAAGCCCCCAAGACUAUCACUGGAGGUGUAAAAAUGAGGAAAUAUCGCAUCUAUGCUUUGCGGAUGAUCUCAUGGUGUUCAGCAAUGGAAACCACAAAGAAUCAGAUCACGAACAUGCUGGGUUACAAGGAAGGAAAACUUCCCGUAAGGGGUGGGACGGUACCUCUAUCUAUCUACGCAAUAUAGGAGUUCCAUUCCAAAACGUACAGCACGGCCUUCCACGCCACCCAAACACCUAUCGUCAGUCAACCUUCCCAUCAGCCAUUGCUCCACCAGCAGUAAGUUCUGCUCCUUUGAAUUCCGGGGCUACGGUUCAAUAA